Anolis carolinensis (green anole) is the source of this 6057-nucleotide RNA transcript. It is a transcript of the gene named layilin, with no coding region annotated. The record is from RefSeq and is a predicted model, not a curated record. NCBI's taxonomy places the organism in Eukaryota, Metazoa, Chordata, Lepidosauria, Squamata, Anolidae. The transcript has 11 exons.
GCCCCACCUCGAGUCCUGCCUGGCGCCCCGGCGGGGAUCCCUCCACAGCGACGCCGGGCCGGCACCCGGGUCCGGCACCGGGUCCAGGAGGCCCUCAAACGGCGGCAAACAUGACAAUUCUGCCCGGCCCUCCAUCAGCACAAGCAGCAGACCCCAGCCCCUGACCUGGAGGAUCAAGAGAGAGUGAAGGCCUUAAGCUGAGCCUUUCAGGGCACCCAGAGCAAUUUCCAAAGAGACGUGUUAGUCCCUUCAAGAAUAAUCCUCUCUGAUAUAGUACUCUUUGGGUGACAUGUUUCCAGCUUUGGGUUUUUUUUCUUGAAGAUUUAGAUGCUUCUCUUUGUUAAAAAAAAAACAACAACUGAGCAUUUCCUUUGGCUGGUAGAGGUCCUAGCGUGGCAUGCCGAAAUAAGAUACGAUAAGAAAUGGCAAUAAAUGGGUUCUGAAACACCCAGUUUGUGUUGCAAAUCUUUUCUCUUUGUGCCUGUGCCUUCGAGUUGCCAAAAUAUGGCAAUCCCAUAGAUAUUAUGGGGUUUUCUUAGGCAAAGAGUCCUCCUUCUUCUGAAAUAUAAUCCACAGCAUCAUCAUCAUCAACAACAAGAACAGGAAGCAGCCAGGCUUUGAAGCUGCCAGGCUAUUCAAUGGGAAUCAAGCUGGCCAAUUGCGACAUUCACACCUCCCUCAAACAUACAAGAGUUCUUUCUCCCACCCUGGACAUUCCACAGAUAUAUAUACAGUAGAGUCUCACUUAUCCAACCUUCACUUAUCCAACAUUCUGUAUUAUCCAACGCAGUCAGCCUUAUAGUAGUCAAUGUUUUUGUAGUAAAUGUUGUGAUGUUUUGGUGCUAAAUUCAUAAAUACAGUACUACAUAACAUUACUGGGUAUUGAACUGCUUUUUCUGUCAAUUUGUUGUAAAACAUGAUGUAUUGGUGCUUAAUUUGUAAAAUCAUAAUGUAAUUUGACGUUUAAUGGGCUUUUUUCUUAAUCCCUCCUUAUUAUUUAACAUUUUUGCUUAUCCAACAUUCUACCGGCCCAUUUAUAUUGGAUAAGUGAGAGUCUAUUGUAUAUAUAAACCCCACUUGUCUAAUUUCCAACAGACCUCAAAACCUCCGAGGAUGCCUGCCAUAGAUGCGAGCGAAAUGUCAGGAGAGAAUGCUUCUUGAACAUGGCCAGACAUGGCUGGAAAACUCACAGCAACCCAGUGAUUCUGGCAAUGAAGUAUUUCAUCAAAAGGAAAAGGAGAGAAGGGGGAGAAAACCUAAUGAAACACCCAAAUCAGCAAAAUGUUAAUGAACAUUUCCCUUUUUUUGCCAGUCAGCUGCUGCAACAGGGUCUCUGCUUCGGGUUUGCCUGCAUUUUAGCUGCAGUUCUGCUGUUCAUAAUUCAAGAUCCCGCCUCGAAAACUGCUGACAAGCCUUCCAGGGCCGGGUUUUUAAUGUUCGCUCUUUGGAGCCAUUAAGACUCCGGCUUCCAAGAAACCCCUCCUCUGCGAAUAGCGAGACAACCAGAACGAAUUAUGUCCAUCAUUUCUUGGCUCUGCGGGGACACUAAGAGCAAAUCUGCAGUAACUUCCCAAAACUUUUAGAGCCCCGGAUGGACAUCCAGGCUUAGUGUUUUGCAGUUAGACACUUCAGACGUUCAUCUGACCGCUUUUUGUCGUCGGUGACAAAUCCAAAACGGAUCAAAUGAUCUGUGUUCCUCUGUGAAUCAGCCAGCAUGGAGGAAAUGAUUUGUUUCCUGCCAAGAUCCUAUUCAGCAUAAAUUUGCAGUUCGGUUGGAUUGCUCAUGCCGUUGUGUGCUUCGUUACGCAACAGGCAGCAAUGUCUUAAAGAGCAUCUACACUAGAAUUAAUGCAGUUUGACACCACUUUAACCACCAUGGCAUUGCAGCCAUUUGAGUUAUAAUUUUACAAGGUGUUUCGGCUUCUCUUCCAAAAAGUGCUAUAAUGCCUCACUAAACGACAACUAUUAAUGAAUAUAUAUAAAAGGCAGUACAGUAGAGUCUCACUUAUCCAACAUUCACUUAUCCAACGUUCUGGAUUAUCCAACGCAAUUUGCCUCCCACUCCAAUCCAUAGCUGUUUCUCUAGGCAGCAAGGAUUGAACUUUUUAUGGAUUUAAUUUCCAACAAUGUUGCUACUGUAAGUUCAUGUAAUGCAAUUCUAUCUUUAUUUGUAGUCCAUUUGUUAGUAGCCAAUGUUUCUUGGGGCCGGGCUGUGGCGCAGCUGGCUAGUAACCAGCUGCUAUAAAUCACUACUGACCGAGAGGUCAUGAGUUCGAAGCCCGGGUCGGGUUAAGCCUCCGACCAUUAAAAAAAAAAUAGCCCUGGCUUGCUGUUGACCUAGCAGCCCCGAAAGACAGUUGCAUCUGUCAAGUAGGGAAAAUUUAGGUACGCUUUAUGUGGGAGGCUAAUUUAACUAAUCUACAACACCAUAAAACUGCUCACGAGGAAAAGAAUGAGGAAGAACAGCCACUACUGGACGGUGAAGCAACAGCUCCUCCUGUGGCCGGAAUCGUGAAGCUGGAAAGAUGUUAAAAAUGCCUCUGUGUCUGUCUAAAACUGAAUGUUGUUUGUCUGUUGGCAUUGAAUGUUUGCCAUAUAUGUGUUCAUUGUAAUCCGCCCUGAGUCCCCUUCGGGGUGAGAAGGGCGGAAUAUAAAUACUGUAAAUAAAUAAUAAUAAUAAUAAUAAUAAUAAUAAUAAUAAUAAUAGUCAAUGUUUUCAAUAUAUUGCGAUGUUUUGUUGCUAAAUUCAUAAAUACAGUAACUACUACAUAACAUUACCAUGUUUUGGGCUGCUUUUUCUGUCAAUAUGUUGUAAAACAUGAUGUUUUUGGUGCUUAAUUUGUAAAAUCAUAAUGUAAUUUGACAUUUAAUAGGCUUUUCAUUAAUUCCUCCUUAUUAUCCAACAUUUUCGCUUAUCCAACAUUCUGCCGGCCUGUUUAUGUUGGAUAAGUGAGACUCUACUGUAUAUGAAUGAAUUAAUAGCAAUUGCACCUGCAGCCAUUGUGGUUUUUGUGCUUGUACUUUGUAAGUGCAUCUUUUCAAAGCGGAUUCUGCCAUCUUAUUUUCCAUUCCUGGGGCUGCAAUAACAAUCAUCGGCUUGGAUGUGUUCCUAUUGUGUUCUCCUGGCUCUGGAGAGCGUCCAAACGGCCUCGGAUGAGCGGAAACUUGGCCGGGAAGCCCCUCGGUCCAGGAAAUGCAAGCUGGAGAUGGAGGAGCCCCGAAAACAAGAAGGAAGAAGAAGAAGAGCCCUGCUGCCUCUCCUGCAAACCCUGCUCUUCCUUUCCUGCUUGCUGCUGCCCAUCCAGGCUUUGCCGGGAGGAGUCCAAGAGAUGCGGCUGCCCAGUGGCCAGGCCAUCUGCCGGGGAGGGACACAGCGGCCGUGCUACAAGGUCAUCUACCUCCACGAGGCCGGGCGCAGGGUGGGCUUCCAGGCCGCCCUCCAGGCCUGCCGCCGGGACGGAGGGGACCUGCUCAGCAUCGAGUCCCAGGCGGAGCAGAACCUGAUCGAGAAGAUGAUCGCCAGCGUCUCGGCCUCGGACGGGGACUUCUGGCUGGGGCUCACCCGGGAGCGGGACCCCGACAACAGCACCGAGUGCCCAGAGCUGUACUCCUGGUCCGACGGGAGUGCGGCCACGUUCCGGAACUGGUAUGCCGACGAACCGUCCUGCGGGAGCGAAAUCUGCGUGGUGAUGUACCACCAGCCGUCGGCUCCCCCCGGCGAUGGGGGUCCUUACAUGUUUCAAUGGAACGACGACCGGUGCAACAUGAGGAACAACUUCAUCUGCAAAUACGCCAUGGAGAAGCCAACCGUGGCCCCAGAAACGAAUGCUUCUCUAGCAGCUGUUGUCACAGAGGCCUCGGCACCCGCAUCCCCCGAGGAGCCCCUCCAAGAAAAUGUAAUACGCAAAACCUCCAAAGAAGCCAAGGAACCUGUUUGGAACCUUCUGUACAUCUUAGUCCCCAGCAUCCCUGCCUUGCUGCUCCUCUUGGUCAUUAUGGCCAUUUUCUGUUUUUGGCUUUACGCAAAAAGGCGACGGGCGCAAACAGAGGUGAACCAGAAGGAUGGUGAUGCCUGGGCGUCCCCAAAAAGGCAGAAGAGCCCCAGUCUGGAGAUCUACAACGUCAUCCGAGAGCAGUCCGAAGCCGACCUGGCCGGGACCAGGCCGGACAUCAAGAACUCCUCUUUCCGGAUCCGUUCGGGAGGAGAGACCCCGGACGACCUUUCCGGAGACUACGACAACAUGGCCGUCAACACUUCGGAGAGCGGCUUCGUGACGCUGGCCAGCACCGAGAGCGGGUUUGUCACCAACGACAUCUACGAGCUGUGUCCGGACAGAGUGGGCCGCAGCAAGGAAUCCGCCUGGGUGGAAAACGAAAUCUACGGGUACUGAAGGAAGCGGUGGGCCUCCCAGGCAAAACAACCCGUUUCAAGCCGAGUCCGGCAUGUAUGGACGCAAACACGUCCCCGGCGUGUGUUUUGCAUUUGGCAAUGCUUGCGGUUUUUUAUGGUAAGGUGGUCCUUUCCGCCCUGAAAGUUGAAUGCCAGAGACUAUAUAUUUGGAGCUUUUCCCAAAUCAAAGAAAAUGGCUACAAACCCUCUCCAAUCUACAUCCUGUCAUCUGCCGUUGAACCAAAACCAACAGCCUGAACAAUAUUUUUGCCAUUUAAGGUGUAUUCAAGUCCAUUUUUUGUUAUAUUAUUUAAGCGAAUUGCCUCAUUCCAGACAAUGUUUCUGAGUUGUGGUGAUGCUUGCUUUUCCCCAGCUCAAAAUACUACAAACACAGGCAAGUUGUCUCUUCAACCACCAUCAUUUCAAAAAAUCAACCAUUUCUUAGGUUUUGGGGUGGGGUUUUUUUUUUUUUUUGCUUUAUAUUUUCCGGGGAGCGGGGUGAGCUCCCGCUAUUAGCCCCAGCAUCUGCCAACCUAGCAGGUCAAAAAAAUGCAAAUGUGAGUAGAUUGAUAGGUACCGCUCCGGCUGGAAGGUAACGGCGCUUGAUGCAGUCAUGCCAGCCAUAUGACCUCAGAGGUGUCUACCAACAUGAGAAUGUGAGUAGAUCGAUAGGUACCACUCCGGCGGGAAGGUAACAUAGGCACUCCAUGAAAUCAUGCCAGUGGCCACAUGACCUUGGAGGUGUCUAUGGACAACGCCGGCUCUUCGGCUUAGAAAUGGAGAUGAGCACCAAACCCCAGAGUCGAACACAAUGGGACUUAAUGUCAGGGGAAAACCUUUAGCUUUACCUUUAUUUUCAGGGAGCAAUUCGUUUUUUUUAUACUCCGUCCAUGAAGUGGAAAGAAAUAUCAAGGGGACCAAUGAGGCCAUCGGGUGCAAUACCCAAACCAAGGAUAGGAAGAACUUGCAAUGCCUACCUGGCCAAAUAUCGUGAUAGGAAUGGCGAUAGAUAUUGCUGCAAGAGAGACAAAAAUAUGAGACCUGUAUCUUGCCAAGAAGAAGGCAUUCGCAUUAUUUGUUGCUGUAUAAGACUGCUGGGUUCGGUCAUAUGGGUUGAAGGAACUAUAAAGCAGUGGUCACUUAAUUCCUGGAGAAAAAAGGUGACCAAGUUGGAUUGUUGGCUCUUUUAUUCUUUUGCAAUGCUGGCAAGCAUGUCGGAGACCAGCGCAGGUGUUUUCCUAGGAGUCCCGGUACGAAUGGGAUCGCCAUGAAAGCAUUUCGUGUCCCGUUUGGUGCUUUACAGUGCAACUUUCAAAGGGAUUCUGAAGCAACCGCAAAGGGGCUUAGACGAUGGAUGGAUGGACGGAGGCAGUGAAAAGCAAAGGUGAGGAGUUUUCUUCCCAGAUUAGCAUCCAAAUCCCAGGUUUCUGCAAGCAAAUGAGUCUACUUAAGGCGUUGUAAGAAACGAUGCUACUUUGUUAUCGGGCGCUAAACACGUUAUCCUUUGCGUUUGGUGGAACUUUGAUCCGGAAAUGUGCCAAGACAUACCAGACCUCAUUCAAAGCAAGGAAAGGUCUGACUCCUCUUCCUUGGAAGCACAACACAAGGCAAAGGAAAGCAGACACAGGUUUCAAAACAUAUAAUAAAAACUCGUCUUAUGUCACCGA